Molecule: transfer RNA, 73 nt
Filed under: Ornithorhynchus anatinus (platypus)
Lineage: Eukaryota; Metazoa; Chordata; Mammalia; Monotremata; Ornithorhynchidae
Rfam family: tRNA
About the family: Transfer RNA (tRNA) molecules are approximately 80 nucleotides in length. Their secondary structure includes four short double-helical elements and three loops (D, anti-codon, and T loops). Further hydrogen bonds mediate the characteristic L-shaped molecular structure. tRNAs have two regions of fundamental functional importance: the anti-codon, which is responsible for specific mRNA codon recognition, and the 3' end, to which the tRNAs corresponding amino acid is attached (by aminoacyl-tRNA synthetases). tRNAs cope with the degeneracy of the genetic code in two manners: having more than one tRNA (with a specific anti-codon) for a particular amino acid; and 'wobble' base-pairing, i.e. permitting non-standard base-pairing at the 3rd anti-codon position.
Source: Rfam by way of RNAcentral
AGCAGUGUGGUCUAGUGGAUAGAGCACAGGCCUGUGAGGCAGAAGAACCUGGGUUCUAAUCCCAGCACUGUUA